GCUCUGAUGAUUAGACUCCUUUGUUUAUUGAACCUGAUGACAACGUUCAUUCCUACAAAGAGAAUCCGGGGUU
This 73-nucleotide small nucleolar RNA is filed under the name Vulpes vulpes (red fox). Its description in RNAcentral is "Small nucleolar RNA SNORD108 (ENSVVUG00000017962.1)". It matches the Rfam family "Small nucleolar RNA SNORD108". The record is from Rfam by way of RNAcentral. Lineage: Eukaryota; Metazoa; Chordata; Mammalia; Carnivora; Canidae.